This 109-nucleotide small nucleolar RNA is filed under the name Triticum aestivum (bread wheat). RNAcentral describes it as "Small nucleolar RNA Z43". It matches the Rfam family "Small nucleolar RNA Z43". From Rfam's summary of the family: Z43 is a member of the C/D class of snoRNA which contain the C (UGAUGA) and D (CUGA) box motifs. Most of the members of the box C/D family function in directing site-specific 2'-O-methylation of substrate RNAs. Lineage: Eukaryota; Viridiplantae; Streptophyta; Magnoliopsida; Poales; Poaceae. The record is from Rfam by way of RNAcentral.
GUGUGUUUAUGUUUUGCAACCUCAUGUCUGAAUUUGUUGUAGAGGACGGUGAAGAUUGGUAUUUGCGCUGCCGACCAUCCUGCUAUAUCACCACCCGUAUUCUGAGUAC